GACGAACGCUGGCGGCGUGCUUAACACAUGCAAGUGGAGCGACGAACCAGGGCUUGCCCUGGGGCAGAGCCGCGAACGGGUGAGUAACACGUGGGUAACGUGCCCCGAUGACUGGGACAACCCGGGGAAACCCGGGCUAAUACCGGAUACGCCCCCUCACGCGAGUGAGGUGUGCAAAGGAAGCUUCGGCCUCCGCAUCGGGAGCGGCCCGCGGCGCAUUAGCUUGUUGGUGGGGUAACGGCCUACCAAGGCAGCGAUGCGUAGCUGGUCUGAGAGGACGAUCAGCCACACUGGGACUGAGACACGGCCCAGACUCCUACGGGAGGCAGCAGUGGGGAAUCUUGCGCAAUGCGCGAAAGCGUGACGCAGCAACGCCGCGUGGGGAAGAA
Molecule: ribosomal RNA, 389 nt
Filed under: uncultured bacterium
Lineage: Bacteria
Description: bacterial SSU rRNA
Rfam family: Bacterial small subunit ribosomal RNA
Source: RNAcentral